CAAUUGGCCCUCAUCGCAUUGGACUUCAAGGAAAAUUAAUGAAUUUAUAAAAUUCAAGAAAACGCCAGAAUCUGAUUGGAAUCUUCAUAAAGUUGACAUUUUAGGUAGCUAUGAAGAUCUAUCUGUUGCUCAACGGAAAGCAAAUAAGGCUAAAUAUACGUCUGAUCUUUCGUCGCAAAAUGAUAAAUGUAGGAAACAACAUAGUAAACCAAAAGGGAAAAGAAACAAAUCGACGAAGUAUUUGUCUGACAAUGACUCUUCUGAUUUGUCACAGUAUGAAUCAGAUAUUAAUAGUUAUCCUCCCACAAGCCCUCUUAUAUCAAGUGAUGGAAACUUAGUUCAAAAUAUACCAACCGAGGUUGUAACUAAAUCGACCGAAUGUAACAUUCCUCGAAAUUUUGAUGCUGAUUUCCAGAAGCAAGUAUUAAAAGAACUAAAUGCUAUACACUUG
Molecule: non-coding RNA, 451 nt
Organism: Nylanderia fulva
Lineage: Eukaryota; Metazoa; Arthropoda; Insecta; Hymenoptera; Formicidae
Source: RefSeq, a predicted model, not a curated record